GUCUCGAUAGCUAAGUGGUAUAGCAUGCGAUUGCAGUCUUGAUCAUCGCAGGGUCCGGUGUUCGAACCACCGUCGGGACU
RNAcentral lists this transfer RNA (80 nucleotides) under Termitomyces sp. T159_Od127. Its description in RNAcentral is "tRNA-Cys". It matches the Rfam family "tRNA". From Rfam's summary of the family: Transfer RNA (tRNA) molecules are approximately 80 nucleotides in length. Their secondary structure includes four short double-helical elements and three loops (D, anti-codon, and T loops). Further hydrogen bonds mediate the characteristic L-shaped molecular structure. tRNAs have two regions of fundamental functional importance: the anti-codon, which is responsible for specific mRNA codon recognition, and the 3' end, to which the tRNAs corresponding amino acid is attached (by aminoacyl-tRNA synthetases). tRNAs cope with the degeneracy of the genetic code in two manners: having more than one tRNA (with a specific anti-codon) for a particular amino acid; and 'wobble' base-pairing, i.e. permitting non-standard base-pairing at the 3rd anti-codon position. Lineage: Eukaryota; Fungi; Basidiomycota; Agaricomycetes; Agaricales; Lyophyllaceae. The record is from RNAcentral.